UGCAGCUAAUAUGACGUCACCCUUUUCAAACUUGCAUCGUCAUGACUGAACGCACUCUUACGUCGUUUGUUUUGGAAGAAAGACGAACAGUUGAAUGCUGUUCCGGCUUCCUUCAAGACAGUGAAAUACUUGCAGAACAACUUCUAAGGUAAUUUGUUUGUGGACUUCACCACAACACGGUAACCAGUUUACAGUGCCAUAUGCUUUUCUGUUAGUGCUGAUAGCCGUAAAUAACCCACGUAAAUUCAGUGAAAGGGUCUUGCUUAAAUUGGAAUAGAUUUGUUAUUCUUACAUUCGAAAUUAGGAACUGUAGUGAGUGAUUCGUUUAACAAGAGUCUAAAUACUAUAAAGGAAAACAAACUAUAAUAGACGUUAGUGAGGCCUAGGCGUUCCUAAGUGCAGAGAAAACGAUAUACAUUACUUUUUAUUAGGUUGCAGGUCGAAGUUGUGUUUCGAAAGUGCAUUCUCGUAGUGACAGUGGAUUUAGUCUCUUGAUUUGUGAGUGAUAUGAUUCAGACAGAAGAGAAUGGAUGUUUUCUUCAAGUCCUUCAAACAGAGGAUUGUGUUUAAUAAAUCUGUUGGCAAAUUCUUGGGUCAUACCUCAGUGUCCAGUUAGGUCAACGAAUAAAUUAAAUGUCGGCUGUGAUCAUCUGUAUAGUGACCGUGCGAACAGCCCUCAUCUCCACCGUUGUGAUAACCUCAUAUUUCAGAUGACUUUCUAAUGGAAACCGAAUAAUGGUGACAUCACCAGUAGAUGUCGCAUGCGGGAAAUACCACUAUUAGUACGUUUAGGUUAAAACGUUUUGGAGUGUACAGCUGCUGCAGGCUCCUUGCGUAUUCCUGCCGUCUACUUAGGGCGAAGUUGUUGCACAGAACAGCGCCGGGCAUCAAGCGGACAAAAGCCUUACGAAUUGCGAUGACUGAAUUCCAAGAAGAUUUGUGGAGCUUCAACUCUUUUAAGCUGUUUGCUGCAGUUCAUGCGCAAAUGGAAGGUAGCCGUGAUGUGUUUCAGGACGUGUCUGUCAAUAUAUACUGCAUGAAACGUUAGGUUAGGUUAGGUCUGAAGGAAAGGGAGAUUAACAAGAAUAAAAUUUUCAUUAAAUUGUUAUUUAUAGAGUGAGGACAUUAAUGAUCUUUGUUGUGUUUUGUCAAGAGCGUGUUUUAAAACAUACAAAACAUAAUGUAUACCGACUGAUAACAUUUUAAUUGCGGUUGUGAAGUGUAAUUGAUAUAGAGUCUUGCAGAGAGGCUGAGUGUGAUACUAAUAAUUAUUUAUUGGUUUCAAAAUGCAAGGAAAUACUCUCAGUCAAAAUAACGCAACGUUCAUAUAAAACCCAGAUGUAGGAGUAUUAGAUCGUAGAUGUAAUUUGAGUUUUAUAAAAUGUACAGUAGCUAGAUAAUGAAACUGGCACUUUGAAUGAAAUUAUCUAAAAUUUUGCCUAGAUGAGCGAAGGGUACUCAACCAGUUUAAUGAUGGUUAGUAGAAAUGCCAUGAAUUCAUAUAACAAAGAAUUGGAAAGUUAGAUUUCAGAAAUUGUAAGUUCUAAAGAAGUAAGUAAGGAGAUAAUAAACGUUGUUAAAAUCGGAAAUACAAAGACGAGAUGGGAACUAAUAUAAGAAAUUAUAUCAAAGGCAUUCAAGAAGUACCGACUUGAAUCUAAAAAUAU
Molecule: long non-coding RNA, 1667 nt
Organism: Zootermopsis nevadensis
Lineage: Eukaryota; Metazoa; Arthropoda; Insecta; Blattodea; Termopsidae
Source: RefSeq, a predicted model, not a curated record